Molecule: ribosomal RNA, 253 nt
Filed under: uncultured bacterium
Lineage: Bacteria
Description: partial 16S ribosomal RNA
Rfam family: Bacterial small subunit ribosomal RNA
Source: RNAcentral
UACGUAGGGGGCAAGCGUUGUCCGGAAUUAUUGGGCGUAAAGAGCGUGUAGGCGGUCCGGUAAGUCAGCUGUGAAAGUCAAGGGCUCAACCCUUGAAUGCCGGUUGAUACUGUCGGGCUAGAGUGCGGAAGAGGCGAGUGGAAUUCCUGGUGUAGCGGUGAAAUGCGCAGAUAUCAGGAGGAACACCAAUUGCGAAGGCAGCUCGCUGGGACGUUACUGACGCUGAGACGCGAAAGCGUGGGGAGCAAACAGG